This 1234-nucleotide ribosomal RNA is filed under the name metagenome. Its description in RNAcentral is "bacterial LSU rRNA". It matches the Rfam family "Bacterial large subunit ribosomal RNA", at positions 1572 to 2815 of the family's 2925-position model. The record is from RNAcentral.
AGAUGCUACGGCAUCGAAGCAGUCUAUGUCAUACUUCCAAGAAAAGCUUGCACUGUCAUAAACAAAGAAUGCCUGUACCAUAACCGACACAGGUGGGUAGGUAGAGUAUACUAAGGGGCGCGAGAUAACUCUCUCUAAGGAGCUCGGCAAAAUGACUCCGUAACUUCGGGAGAAGGAGUGCCUUAUUUCUAAGGUUGCAAUAACAAGAUCCAAGCAACUGUUUACCAAAAACACAGGUCUCCGCUAAGUCGUAAGACGAUGUAUGGGGGCUGACGCCUGCCCAGUGCCAGAAGGUUAAAGAAGUUGGUUAGCAUUAGCGAAGCUGAUAACUGAAGCCCUGGUGAACGGCGGCCGUAACUAUAACGGUCCUAAGGUAGCGAAAUUCCUUGUCGGGUAAGUUCCGACCCGCACGAAAGGCGUAAUGAUUUGGAUACUGUCUCGGAGAGGGGCUCGGUGAAAUAGACUUGUCUGUGAAGAUGCGGACUACCUGCACCUGGACAGAAAGACCCUAUGAAGCUUUACUGUAACUUGAGAUUGAAAUUGGACUUUAUUUGCGCAGUAUAGGUGGGAGGCGUUGAGAAUAAUCUUGCGGGAUUGUUGGAGCCAUCAGUGAGAUACCACUCUUGUAAUGUUAGAUUUCUAACUUUGUAUCAUUAUCUGGUCAAAGAACAGUUUCAGGCGGGCAGUUUGGCUGGGGCGGUCGCCUCCCAAAGGGUAACGGAGGCGCACAAAGGUUUCCUCUGAACGGGUAGAAAUCGUAUCUAGAGUGUAAAGGCAUAAGGAAGCUUGACUGUGAGACCUACAAGUCGAGCAGGGACGAAAGUCGGUCUUAGUGAUCUGACGGUGCUGAGUGGAAAGGCCGUCACUCAACGGAUAAAAGUUACUCUAAGGAUAACAGGCUGAUCUCCCCCAAGAGUUCACAUCGACGGGGAGGUUUGGCACCUCGAUGUCGGCUCAUCGCAUCCUGGGGCGGUAGUCCGUCCCAAGGGUUGGGCUGUUCGCCCAUGAAAGCGGUACGCGAGCUGGGUUCAGAACGUCGUGAGACAGUUCGGUCCAUAUCGGGUGUAGGCGUUAGAAUAUUGAGAGGAGCCUUCUCUAGUACGAGAGGACCGAGAAGGACAUACCUCUGGUGUACCAGUUAUCGUGCCAACGGUAAACGCUGGGUAGCUAUGUAUGGAGUGGAUAACCGCUGAAAGCAUCUAAGUGGGAAGCCCACCUCAAGAUAAGUAUUCAC